Phascolarctos cinereus (koala) is the source of this 1002-nucleotide non-coding RNA. Lineage: Eukaryota; Metazoa; Chordata; Mammalia; Diprotodontia; Phascolarctidae. The record is from RefSeq and is a predicted model, not a curated record.
CAAAAUCCACCAUCUUUUCUCCCAAAUAAACCUCUCCUCCACAUUUCACUAUCUUUGCUGCUUCAUCCUUUACACACUCUUAUUAGGUAUGCAAACUGGCCUCCUCUCUGUGCUUCAUGCAGCUUUCCAUCUCUGGUGUCAUGACUCUCCUUUGACCGCCUCCCAGGCCUGGAACAUGCUCCCUCCCAACCCUCGUCUCCCAGAGUCUCUGUUCAAACACCACUUUCUACAAGAUAUCCUUCUUUGACUCCAACUGUUAGUGACCUCCCUCCUUGAUGGUCUUCUAGUCAUUUGUAUUUAGAAGGUAUACACAUAUCAUCUGCACAUGCUUCUUCCCACUUCAGAAUGAAUGUAAGUUCCUUGAGAAGUCGGACUUGUUGCAUUAUUUGUGUUUGUGACUCUAGCACCAUCACAGCACCAGGCAUGAGAAAGGAUCACCAGAUGGAAGAGCCCCCAAGAAAGAGUUCACCACUCACUGUAUGAAGCUCUGGGCAUUCUACAAACAAAACCUGCCAACCAUAUGCCUCAGGAGCUGAACAACAGGAAGAAUAAUGCAGGGAGAGCAGCCGUUCCACUUACUGCAUGUCCUAAGCUGCUCUGGUACUCAACAAACUCGACGGGUUCAGAAUUCAACUCACUGAGCCUAGGAUGGACACAGCCCAGAGCUUCAGAGACGCUCGCCGCCAAUAACCUCAUUUUGGCUGUGUGCUGUAUGGGCUGACAGACACUUCUGAGCAUAUUAGAUUCAACGGAACCUGCAGGGCACCCACUCCCCCCUUCUCCCCCAUUCAAAGACCCAAUCUCAGGAUUGUGGAACACUCAAGACUGACAUGAAGAACUGUGAAGACCGUGUCAACGAACAGACCUAACCCAAACAGCACUCAAACCCAGAGACUUCAGUAACUGACCAAAACUCAAAUUCACGGCCCACAACUUAAAUUUUCCAAAAAGGUGUUCCCUUUUCUUUUUUAAUUACAAAAAUAAAUUCAUUUCUAAUAGAGA